GGGAAUCAGGCAAUUCUCCAUGAAGAGCAGAAGGUGGCUGUAGUAAAGGGGGGAAAAGUCAAGUUUAUGUGGUGACAAAGCUCAGCUGGGGAAAGAAUGUGAGUGCCAGGCAGAAAGCUGAGAGAGUAAGGAAAAGCUCUCCAGGCAGGGAGGCUUGGGAGAUCCUGAUGGAAACAACAAAGAGACUGAGACCCAGAGAAGAACUUAAGAGGCUGGGUAGGAAGUGGCACAGGGAAAACUGAAGUAUAGGCCGACUCUGGAAGGGGACAGACUUUAAAGUGACCUGGCCGGAGAGCCAAGUCACAGGAAGAAAUAGACCACCACAGGCCCAGAGCCAUCGUCGGGAGGAGAGCUGCUACUUCAUGCAUGGCCAUAAGAAGGACCUAGUGAUACCACUUGCAAGUUUUCUGCACAGAAAAACACCAGGAUUUGUGCAUUGCAGAAUUUGAGAGGGAUGCUGCAGAUGUCUCAACUACAGUAGUGGCUGACCUUCGAUAAGAGGACAAUGUACUGUGCCAUCUUCUCUGACUCAGUGAGCUACUGAAUCAUUUUUAUAUCCUUCAUAACCAUAUCUUAUUAAUAUACAGUAACGAAGAAUGUUAAUGACUCUACAGCAGAGUGAAUACCUGCAGGCUUGUUACUCUUAUCAGAAUAACUUAUUGUAUAGCCUACUUUACUAUAGUUCUUAGCUACUUCAUAGUAUCAUUAUAUACAUGUCAAUGUUUGUGUAAAUAAAUAUUUCUAGGCUUGUUAUGGAAAUGGCUUAUGCUAUGUAUUUGAGAGCAUGGUUUUGAUAGUGUAAGCCCACAGGCCAGUGUUCACAUUGAAUCCACUUUUUCUUUCAAUGUCCCACCACUAGAGUGGGAGUCUCUUUAGUUUCUUUUUAUCUGACGGGAAGAUAGACAAAGGAGCAGAGAAUGAAUAAAGAACUGUAUGUGCUAGGAAGACAUGAUAACUAAGACUUUGACAGUCUUUGGUGACUCAAAACUGUCCAUAUGAUAGUAUCUCUGUAUUGUGGACAUUGAAUAUAUUGUCCGGUUUCAGAGUAGCAGCCGUGUUAGUGUGUAUCCGCAAAAAGAAAAGGAGGACUUGUGGCACCUUAGAGACUAACAAAUUUAUUAGAGCAUAAGUUUUUGUGAGCUACAGUGAAUGCAUCCGAUGAAGUCAGUUGUAGCUCACAAGCUUAUGCUUGAAUAUAUUGUGUAAUUAGAUAAAUUCAUACAAUGUAAUUACACAAAUAAAGUGCUCAUAGCUGGAAAAGAUGUCACUGUAACAAUGUCAUUCUGUUCCCAUAGUUGUAGAAAAAGUUCCUCUUCAUCUCCAGAUUCAAAGGGUGUCUUGAAUUUUGAGAAUUAGGCAGGGAAAGCUACUGUAGUUUAAAUGUGAUCAAGCAAACACGUUCUCCUCUGCUGCUGCCUAAAUCCUUCACUUGUUACUGGGGGGAUUUACAUAUGAAUUAUUACAUCGACACAUUCACAGUACUGUAGAAAUACUUCAUGUCACUUUAAUCAGUUUUGAAGAUAUGAAGAGUAUUGUGUGGUCAAAAAGUGGUGGGGGAAUAAAAGGUGGUUCAGAGAUCUAUCCAUUUCAAAAAUGUUUGACAAUAUGUAUCUCUGUUCAUUAUAUCCAGAAACUUAUUUUUUCAUUGUUAAACUUUUUAGAGAAGGGUUUAUUGUGUAGACAAGAGACAUUGUUGCAGCUUUAUAAAGGUAGAGUUAAUUCAAAACAUAGACAGGAGCAACUGCUCCUAAAAUAUAUAUUUCUGUUAAAGGGAAGCUCCUGAAAACUCAGCACCAAUUGGUAACAACUAAGAGGGAGUAAAACUCUGUAGUGACCUACUCAUUAGACAACCCUGCUGGUUUUAAUGGAGUUUUAUAUGCUGUGUUUAGUCUGUGUAAAAAUACAUAAAAAUCCUAUUUGUGAAGAGAAAGGAAGAGCACCUAUAUCAGGAAGCUAUCCACCAGUUUUAACUUUCUUUCACUUUGAAGUGAUACAUUCCUUGGGUAAAAUCUUGACUCUACUGAAAACAAAGGCUAAAUUCCUAUGGACUUCCAAGGAGUCAGGCUUCUGCCCAUUCUCUUGGCAGAUGAUAGAAGACAUUUUUCCAGGAAAAAUAUCUGCAGUAUACUGUUCGCAUGAACAGAAAAACCCACCUGCAACUCUU
Long non-coding RNA from Dermochelys coriacea (leatherback sea turtle), 2164 nucleotides. RefSeq lists it as uncharacterized. The transcript has 4 exons. NCBI's taxonomy places the organism in Eukaryota, Metazoa, Chordata, Testudines, Dermochelyidae. The record is from RefSeq and is a predicted model, not a curated record.